GGUGAGUAAUUAAUGACAGAUUUAUCUUUUUUGGGUGAACUAACCCUUUAAGAUAAUAUACAGGUAAGAUUAUAAACUUAUUUCAACUCAAAUCAAUAUGUCCACUUAUUUAUUUAGUGAGUAGCCAUUUAAUAAGCGGGAUAAUGAACAGUCAGUCAGUCAUUAUCACAAACACCUUUAAGGUGAUAUUUUGCAACAUAAUGACCAAUUUACUAUACGUUAUCUCUUGUGUUAAGUCGUGAUUCUCUGUUUUAUGUGGCUAUUUAAAAAAAAAUCCUUUUACUGAGGCCAAACAAAAUAAAUUGUAACAUUAAUCUCCAAAAAAACACCCAAGUAGGUUCCAAAAAUGUUAAAAAGUGGUUUUAAUGGUUUCUACACCCGUUUCCUAUUAAAACUAAUUGCGGAUGUUGUUGCGUUGCAUCGUAUAUGUUCCAAGCACGAACAUUUGAGCAGUUCACACAGGAGCUAAUUAUGUAUAAUGGUCCCUCACCUUCUCUCUUCAUCAUAAUCUGUCCAUUUUUCUACUGUUUCUCGGAAUAAGUGUCGAAAUGCCCCAAAAUAGCAUAUAAAACAUAUACACAUGCAUCUCGGAUGAGUCAUUUGUUAGUCGUGGGCACCAUGAACACUCAUAAUCCCCUCUCCAGCUCAAACUUUUCACCCACCAGCCAGCUCUGAUCCACAGUAAGUAUUAUCACAGUCGACCCCAGCUGCAGCCGAUAUUGUACAGACAAAUAUCUCAAUCUGUACUAUAACUAUAUCAUGAGCACAAUGAAAAAUCAAGCCAAUAAAUGCUGGCAGCUGAAGUCUGACAUGAGAUUUGUACUAUCCCAGAGGGGAAUCCAGUGGUCUGGGUUAUAGAUGAAUGCUGUGCUUAUUUACAGAACAAUUUCAGAGUGCACUGGCCCUCUUUAUAACCUCUAGUGAAGUGUGUGUGUGAGUGUUUGUGUGUGUGUCCACUCUUAAUGAGACUCUAUGGCCCAAGGACUGUCAUUACCACAUGCUAAAGUGUGACGUAUACCACUAGCCACAGGCCAUCAAUACACACACCGUCACACACAGAUAAUAGACAGCCAUUUUGUUCCCCAAAUAAUUCCAAUGCUGUUCACUACAGGCACAUUUAAGGUCUAGAGAUCAUUGCGGCAGAGGCAGAGCGUAGCUGAAUGACUGACUGGCAGCCGUCAUUAUCAGACAUGUUCAGUUCGUCACGCGAGUCCAGACUGCUGAGGAGGUGAGAAGGGCCCAUGUUCAGUGAGCGUGUAAUGAAGCCGGGUUUGGAUCAGGGUCACUGACUUGAGUGCCAUUUAUUUCUGCGAGGAGGCUAGUCUGCUGUGUGCUGCAAAUUACUGUGGAGGGGCUUGGUGAAACCUGGAUUACUUGGUGCGGAGUGAGCAGAUGGUAAUAUACUUAUGCUUUUUGCAGCAGGCUGUGGUAACCAUUUAAUUUAAUUGUAUGGAAGACAGCACUAAACAUCCUUCCUAAAAUCUGAAGAAAGUCAUGAGUUUGGAAGCACAUAAGGACCCUCUGUGGGGAAGACUGUCCCUGUGUUCCGGCCUUCAGGACAGAAGCAGUCAUCCAUAAACCACAUCGUCUAGAUCUUUAUUUAUUUUGCCACCAAUCGACUCGGAGCAGCCUGCCGGACAGCUGCAGCAAGUGAAGUCACUUUACGCUCAUUAGCAUGAACAAGAGAUGAGACCCUACACACACACACGCACACACACACACACACACUGAUUCCCUCCCUCUGCCCAUCUUGGUAUGAGUGUGUCGUGCUUGUGUAUACAGAAAUGAGGAGCUCCAGAAACCUCUGUGGAUUUCAAUUGUGGGUUGAUAUGUUUUUGGUCUCAUAUAUACUGUAUUUUAAUGUGGUUUAAUGGUCUGACUGCUCAGGAGGGAGCAAGCAACAUGAACACACACUUAAACUAGUAAAUUUGAGCAAUUUGAACAUUAGGAAAAAGAGAGGAGAUGAGAAGAGAAGUGAACAGAUGGUACGUGUUGAGACAACUCAUAUAAACUGCUUUUUAUCAUUACAAAACUAACUUUUCAUAAAGUUAUAAAAGUACCAUAAAAUGUACCUCAUAAGUAAGAUACCAUGGUAUUGCCAUAAUACUUUGAUGUAUACCAAGGUAAUGAAUGACUACCAUAAUCAUUUACCAUGGUAUAUUGCAAAUACUUCAAAGAAUACCAUAUAUGCCUAAAAAAAGUCUGAAAAACAUGAUAGUACAAUUGUAGUAUUAUGUAUUUUUUUAUAGUCUCUUGCUAAGCAUAAAUGGAAGAAAAAAAAAAGUUGUCGCUCUGCGUGUUAACAAGAAUAUAGAGAUGUAUGUACUUGAGACACCUUGCAGGUUCAUCCUGAGCAGAACAUGAGCAGAAAAUAGGAUUAUCCCUCCUUUUCAUGACAACGCUAUUUUAAAUAUAAAAGUUUAUCCUCACAGUGAGUGAAGGAAAUAAAUAAAUAAAUAAACCUAAAGGACCGUUGAGGUGAACACGGGUAUGAAAGCAAUAAAAAGAGAGAGGAGGGAGAGAUGAUUAGAGGAUAAAAGGGAAUUGUGGGGCGGAAAAGAGAGAUACGAAAGGCUUGUGGAGUGAAGGGGAGAGAUGCAGGGCUGCGUGUUAGUUCCUCUUCAUUUGCUCUCUGUAUGUGGCGUAGAGGUCAGGCUGAGAGCUGGGACUCGGGCCAUGAAGGAGAGAGCAAAGACAGCCUUAGGCAGGAAUACACACACACACACACACACACACACACACACACACACACCAAUGUUCUGUCCAGAUAUUCCUAUCGUAUAAACAUACACUCUUCACUAACACCAAAUGAUCUCUUUCUCUGUCUUAAGACUCAUUUACAUUUAUGUGAUUGGCAGAAAAUGCACAGCCUAAAUUGAUUUUUAUAAUAAAUGGGUCAAUAACAUUAGUGUGUACUGUCGACAAUAACGAAAAGAAAAACCUUUAAAAAUGUAGUUUAAAACAGGUGCCAGUAAGUUCAUAGAUAUUUUCAUAUGGUUUUGAAGAAUAUUUAAAUAUAUUUUCCUUGAAUACAUGUGACACUUGUAUACAAAUAUGAAUCAUUCUUAUUAUCAAAAAACGUUUAUGGUCUCAUCUCAUUUGUGUGAAAUGCUGCACAAACAGAACAUAACACAGUUUUCGCAAAUGGACUGUUCUGUUUUAUUGAAUUGUUAUAUUUAAAUAAACCAUACAUUUAAAAAAUAUAUUUGUAGACAUCAUUUUCUAUCGCGCUAAACCACGCCCUUGGCUAUGGAGCUUACUUUUGGAGUUUAACAAUGCGGGAGAAAAAAAAAUCAUAAAUACAAGAAGUAGUAUACAAAUAACAAUACGUGUGUGUGUGUGUGUGACUGAAAAGCUGGACAACUGAGUCGCACACUGUGUUUGUCAGUUGCCAGAAAUCACUGAAUAUUUUGUGGCCCAAAUAAACUUAAUUGACAAAAAAAUGUUUUAUUUUAAUAUACACAGCAAAAUCCCCAGA
Molecule: long non-coding RNA, 3478 nt
Organism: Megalobrama amblycephala (Wuchang bream)
Lineage: Eukaryota; Metazoa; Chordata; Actinopteri; Cypriniformes; Xenocyprididae
Exons: 3
Source: RefSeq, a predicted model, not a curated record